RNAcentral lists this long non-coding RNA (3413 nucleotides) under Sus scrofa (pig). Its description in RNAcentral is "lncRNA (ENSSSCG00000061976.1)". Lineage: Eukaryota; Metazoa; Chordata; Mammalia; Artiodactyla; Suidae. The record is from RNAcentral.
UUUUUUUUUUUUAACUAAUGGGUGGUAACCCUCACUGUGCACUGGAAUUACGUGGUGAAAUUUUAAGAACACAGUUGCCUGUGAUCCCACUCUGCCCUCUGAGAUUUUAUCAGAUGGAGGUGGGGCCUAAGCAUCUUCAAGAGCACCCGCAUCUGAUUCUCACGUAUAGCUGAGGUUGAAAGCCACUGCUUUAUACCUUUAACUCUGCCUUCAAUGCCCAAUAAACAGAAUGAUCAUUUAGAAAAUGUGGUUAAUGUAGAUUCACAACAGAAUACAUAAAAUUAGUCCACAUAAUUAGCACACAAAAAUACAUUUCCUAGCAACAACAACAACAACAACAAAAAGACAAAAGACAAAAAAAAAAAAAUACAUUUCCUGAGUGUAUUAAAAGUACUAAUAAUUAAUUAGUAAAGUUUAAACUUUGUUACAUAUAUAUAGUACACAUUAUAACAUACAUACAUGUUACCUGUAUAUAACAUAUAUGUAAAUAUGAUAUUAGAUUGAUGGCCUCAAAUUGCAGAUCACCUUUCUAAAUGCAAGUUUGAUAUCACUAAGAUACAAAAUCAUCAGCCAAAGCCAUAGGGUAGCAUUUAACAAAUCACUGAUAUCUGACACACAUAGGAAUUGCUGGUAUUGAGGAAGGGGGAAAAUCAAUGAUGGCUUCAGUUCUUGGGAAGGUAUUUAGCAUUAAGACGGACUGUAAGAAGGUAGGAAAGGAAAAAUAUAGUCAUGUUAAUAUGGCUUAAUAGUCAUAUCUUUUAUAUUCAGAAUAAAAAUAAAUACUUAUAGCUAACAACAUUGAUAAAUAGGAAAGACUCCAUGCCCUCUAGGAACUCGGUCUAGUGACAGAAGCAGUGGUAUAAAACAAAACAACAUAAAACUUAAAUUGCUAUGCAUUAUAUAAAAGUAACAUUUCAGAAUACAUUAAAAUUUCAAAUGUGCAUACUCUACAACCCAGAAAUUUCACUGAAAUACAGUUCUAAGUAAGGAUAUUUGUACAAGAAUGUUUAUGUGUACAUUAUUAAUGGGGAGGGGAGGGAGGAAAAGAAUAGGAAAAAGAAAAACAUAUUUCUAAUAGUAAAAAGCAGACUGAAUAAAUUAUGGAACAUUCAUCUACAGAAAGGAUGAGUAAUAUUUAUGAAAAUCAAGUUUUAACAUAAAACAUAUUUAUAUUAACAUUUAUAUUAGCACAAAGAAUUCAAAGCAAGUGCAUUGUGUAUACUCCAUUACUUUUGAAGUACAUGAAUUCUUAUUUUUUGCUUUUGACAAAAGAUUUAUGUAUUACAUUUGUAAUUUAAAUAUUUAAUAAAAUUUAAAUCAGAACACACUGUGAUAGAAAGGUAUUCUUAAUCGGGCAUGUACUAUGAAAGUAAUUAUGAUUUAUGUGGUUAUAUUCUAUUUCAUUGAUUGGGACUGCUGUGUAGACACCAACAGAAUUAUGCACCUUUUUUUAUAUCAGUAUUAGCUGAGAUACAGUAGAUAAUUAAAAUAUAAAACAUCAUUUUGCAAGGGAAUUAGAAUAUGAGAGGACAUGGAAACUAAACUGAAAAUAAUUUACUUCGUAAACUGGUGAUUUUUACCCAGGAUUGAAAUCAUACGGCUCUCACUGUUCUUUCUUCCAAAAUAUAAUGUUGCAUCUAACUUGUCCUUUUUGUCAUGCCUAAGGCCCUGAAUUUACCAUUGGUGUGAUCACAAUGACUGAUAGCAAAACAUAUGAGCCAAACACACAAAGCCAUCAGAUGUUUUACACACAUAUUCUAAUAAUCCCCCUUGUUCCAGAAUCUUUAACCCUUCCUUGGUUCUGACAGCCAGCAGUGGACCAAAGAGAUCCACCCGAGAGUAUUAAGCUGAGAAAGAAGCAGGAAGAACCUCCAUUGCUCCAUGACACAAUUAUUUAUUCUUGCAGAGGUUUUGCCCCCCAGUGAGUGCUUAAGUGCAUGUCACUUAGCAUCUCACCAGCAUUUCAAGGCAGGCUAUUUUAUUACAGAAUUUCAGUAACAAAUUAAGAGUUUAUUGUUACUUCCAUAAAACAGCUUUAAUCUGAAAAUAUAUACGUAUGUCUAACUGAAUCACUUAGCUGUACACUUGAAACUAACACAAGAUUUUAAAUCAACUAUACUUCAAAAAUUAAAAAAAAAAAGCUUUACAAUUCAUAAAAUUUCAGAAGCUGAUUAUUUAGUGUUAAAUUUCUAAAAUCAACUCUGUUAAUGUUGUAAAUACAUUUUAAUCAAUAUAAAUUAUUUCUCAUAUAUAAUCACAUAAUUUUCAUAGUAAUACGUGAACAGAGCUCUCCCCAGUUUUUAAACCUUCACAGAUUGAUUUCUGUUGUUUGCUGUUCUUCAUAUUGUUGUUUGCAUGCUUCCCACUGGCUUGAUUCUUACAAAUCAGAAGUCAGAAGUCAUGAAAUUAGAACUAGGUUACAUGAACAUGUAUUAUUACAAGACAGUGUCCAUUUUUUUCUUUACAGUAGCAAUCUCUCAAUUUUUAACAACCAAAUUGCCCUGUCUUCUGAGAAAUUCCAGCCAGUAAGCAGAAUAGAGCAUUUCCAGGGGAACAGGAAACUUGCAAAAAUAUGGGGUUGGCUUCCAAGUUGAAGCUGAUGACAAUUUCAUGAAUUUAAUUUUUGUCCUCCAAGGUCAUGAACUUACAGUAAAACUAAUGGCUAAUUUUAAAGCAACAUUGAGCCUAUAUAUGAAGUUGGGUGAAACUAUGCAAAGACAGAGGUGAGUGCUUUCUACUGAAUUAUGCUAUGUUUGCAAGAGGGGUAAAAACGCCUCUAUUUUGGAACUCCUUUCAAUGGGUUUGCACCCAUGAGGACUAAAUCAAAUAAACAAUUCUGCCCAAAUAAAAUUCACUUUAGGGUGAUGCUGUCAGAUUUCACACAGUUUUCAUUGCCAAUGGCAAGCAUUUCUCAGAGCAGACCAUAAAGUUCGCAUUUUUCAGAGUCAAAGUAUAUGAAUUUCACAUAUAGAAUAUAUUGGUUAAUUAUAUUUGAUGACAAUAAAUAUAAAAAGUUCAUAUUGCCUCUUUUAGUAAUACUGAGGAAUAGCCCAGGACUUUCCAAGUACAUUCUAAAUCACAUGACAAUAUUAUGAAAUAGCUAUAAUUCUAUCUUAAAACCAAAAAGAUUAUUAACCAAAGGGUACAAAAUUUUAGUUAUACAAAAUGAUUAAGUCCUAGAAAUCUACUAUAUAGUGCUCAUAGUUAACAAUACUGUAUUAAAUAUAUAAAAAUUUGCUAAGAGGGUAGAUAUUAUUAUUAUUCACAAAAAUAAUAAUAGGAGGAAAUAUUAUAAUGACAGACAUGUUUAUGGCAUAGAUUGUGAUAAUGGUUUCAUGGGGGUAUACUUAUCUCCAAACUCAUCAAGUUGUAUACAUUAAAUAUAAACUAUUUUGUGAAUGUUAUUCAUGUCU